ACACUAACUUUUGCAACGGAAACUAUGCACCAUCCACAACUGUGAUUCCUCCUACUUCAACUGUAUAUGACAAUCAUCUUGGGAUGCCUACAGGUUGUAAUCCAAAGCUUAUAAAUGGUUGCCCUGCUGGAUUUGUCAGAAAACGAAACAGUUGCUACCACAUUGGGCGACAAUGGAAAACUUUGACAGACGCCAAAAGAGAAUGUGUACGAAAUUGCAGCAGACUUGCAGUUAUAAGUAGUGAACGGGAAAACGAAGACAUUUCAGACUUUCUACAACAUACAAAGGCUUUACUUGGA
Mytilus californianus (California mussel) is the source of this 299-nucleotide long non-coding RNA. RefSeq lists it as uncharacterized. The transcript is spliced from 3 exons. The record is from RefSeq and is a predicted model, not a curated record. NCBI's taxonomy places the organism in Eukaryota, Metazoa, Mollusca, Bivalvia, Mytilida, Mytilidae.